This 2572-nucleotide long non-coding RNA is filed under the name Mytilus galloprovincialis (Mediterranean mussel). Lineage: Eukaryota; Metazoa; Mollusca; Bivalvia; Mytilida; Mytilidae. The record is from RNAcentral.
GUCAUCCAAGUGGCAUCAUAGUCAUACAUAAUGUCUAUAAAGGGUCACUGGAUCGACUUUGGCUAAUAACUUUCAAAUUCUAAAUCUAAUAUAAUUACACAUAUUUUAUUGUUUUUUAUGAAGUACAUUUAUUUUUACAAUAUACCAACAAAUUUAAUAAUGACAUUACAAAUGAGAUAUUUACAAAUGAUCUGUCACAUAAAUAAUUAUGAAUUAAAUAAAAGCAAUUUAUAACAAAUAAAACAAGACAUUUAAAAUAACAAUUAUAUAGUGCAUAUUGUUAUCAGUAAAAAAAUUACCAACAAUAAACAAUUAAAUGUGAACAAAAUUAAAAGUUAGAUUUAGUAAUUUAUAGCAUUAUGGACAUAAAAAAUAUAUAAUGUUUAAACAAUAGUACUUUAAAAAAUAAACCCUGUAUAUGUACUAAGGAUCUAAUUGCCAAAAAUAAAGACUUAUUUCACCCUCUCUAAGAUGAAGACAAACAAAAGCAAUAGUACUUCCAGCAAGCAAACAUUUAUUAAAUAAACAAUAGAUGAAAAAACUCAGCAAAAUUGUAAAAGGACAUGUAUUUUUUUCUUCCUGAAACAAAUGGAUAUUCCAAGAAACACAUCUGACAUGAUAUAGAUGAAACUAUAUAUAAUAAUGUUCCACAUGUGUAUUUAAUUUGUUUAUCAUUUAUUUAUAUGAAAACAAUCUUGCCAUUACUGUUAUGUGCACAUUGAGCUUUUUAAUCUGUCAUGGGUUCAUUUUUUAUGCUCACAAAAAUGAAUACUGGUAAGUAUAACAGAUAUAAACAGAUGAAAAUUACACAAGGAAUUAUCCGACCAUAUCACUUAAUGUAAGUACUCUAUUAUAUAACAAUUAUAAAAUAAUCCAUACAUAGAACAACCUUCUCUCUAUCAAGGGUUUUAAUACUAGCAUUUGAUGAUGUUCCAUUUAACAAACAUGGGACCUGAGAAGGCACUUUGUACUCUCAACUAUGGGUAUUACUUUGUGGUACUGUGAAUUUCAACUAGAAUAUUUUAUCAUAGGUCGGUGAAAUUUUGUCAAAUCUACAUUUAGCAUAUAUUUUAUACAGUUUACUUCAUAAAUAUAUGAAUAAAGUUUUCAGUUGACAUGUCCUCAAACUACAAUAAUCAAAUCUUGCAAGUAAUUAAGAACAGAGCAGCACACAGACCUGCAAAUAUAAUGCCCUACUACUAUCAAAGGCAAGGCACACAUUUGUGUCUGUAGGUGGUAAUUUGUAAGUGUCUUCCCCAAGUGCUGUAGAUGUUUGAAUGGAACAGCCCUUAAGACUUGCUAUUGGCAGUAUAUACUAUAAUUGAUGUCCAAUAAAUAUUGAGUAGUAGGUUGAAAUAUAGCUAACAUGCCCGAGGAAUAGGGUUUCAACAUUCAUUGUUAAUCCCAAAAACUGAAUAUACCAACCUAACUGAGACCCCAUCAUGUUAUUCAAAUAAAGUUUUAUAAUCUUUCAAUAUAUUAUUUAGAGACAUUGUUGGUAUAAUAAAGUGCAUGAGUAUUAUUUUCUUUGAACACAGUUCAUGUGUGGAGAUAAUAUACACUCAAUAAAAGCUUGAGGUUCAUUAUCAUGAUUAUUGUCCGUCAUUAUUCAAUACUAUCAUGAAAUUGUGUUUGUGCUUAAACAUCAAAUAGAUAAAAGUUCUAUAAGCAGUAUACAUCAAUAUGCAUCUAUAUAAGCUUACAUUGAUCCUUCUGUUUCUAUAAGAUUAUAACAGCCUUACAUCAUAUUUACUCCCAAUUAAGAAAGUUGUGACAAAACAUACUACUGGAUAAAAGCAAAAUGCACAUAUUACAUCCAAAGUAAUGAUCAUAAAAGCUAGUCAAUUGAAUAUGAACUUGAUAUUGCACAAGAGGCAUAUAAAUCCAUUCACUUUGACCUUUAGAAUCUGAAUUCCCAUUCACCUUGACCUAUAAAAACUGAAUUAUCAUUUAUUUAGGUCUAUAAAAUCUGAAUUUUCAUUCACCUAGAACUAUAAAGAAUCUGAAUUCAAUAAAUGUUAUACACCUUAUUUUGAAUAUUUACAUUAUAUUAAUGAUAAAAUAUAAAAUAAAAAACUGUGUCCUUACAGGAUAUAAUUUGUUAUCAAAACAAAAUGCAGACACAUUUACAUUCUGAAAGCAUGGACUGUAUGAUUGCUGAAUGACUUUUAGUGCUACCCUCACCUUUUAUAUAAAAAAAAAAAUAUGGAAAUACAUAUUUAUCUUAUUUGCAUAAUGGUCUCUUUCAUUAUAAAUAAUUAUUAAUGAGUCCUUCAAUAUGUACUGCAAAAUCUUUUGCAAUAGUUGAUGUAUACGGCUUUCAUAUUAUGAAUUUGCACUGUAAACAAAUAUUGCAAAAUAUAUUUACUAUAACUCAUUAAGUAUCAAUUUAUAGAUUUUAUGAUAAUAACAAAAGAAAAUAUUCUGUUUAUAAAUACAAUAAUAAUAGUUGCUGAAUAAAAACAAAAUUCAAAUAAACAAGAAUGUGUCCACAGUACACGGAUGCCCCACUCGCACUAUCAUUUUCUAUGUUUAAAGGACUGUGAAAUUGGAAUAAAUUCUCUAAUUUGGC